AUGGAUGAUGGAACUGGUGGUGUUCAAGAAUCAAGUGACAUGUCGAUUUCAAGCGAUGAUGACACCAAUAAGCAACGGAAUGAAAGCAAUGUGGAACUUGAACAUGACCUUGGUGAAGCUCAACCAGAUGCCUUACUUGGAGACCCUAAAUUGGGGAUGACCUUUGAUACUGAGAAUGAGGUGCGAGAGUACUACAACAACUAUGCUAAAGCAAAGGGCUUUGGUGUGACAAGAAGAAGCUCAAACAAUGAUGAUAAUGGACAGCUGAAGUAUCUUACACUUUCGUGCUCUCGGUAUGGUAAGACUCAGUCCAGAUCAAGAAAUAUGUUGAAACCAAAUCCAACAACCGGGUUAGGAUGUAAAGCUAAAAUCAAUAUUACCCGUGGUCCUGAUGGGAAGUUUCAUCUUUCAACUGUCAUUUUAGAUCAUAAUCAUACAUUAAGUCCACACAAGUCUCGGUUAUUCAGAUGCAACCAAAAGUUAGACGUCCAUGUGAAGCGAAGGCUUGAGCUGAAUGACCGGGCUGGAAUUCGAGUAAACAAGAAUUUCAAUUCUUUUGUUGUGGAAGCAAAUGGUCAUGAGAACCUAACUUUUGGUGAGAAGAAUGCUCGCAAUUUUCUAGAGAAAACAAGAAGGUUGAAACUUGGCAGAGGUGAUGCUGAAGCGGUUCGUGAUUUUUUUGUCAAGAUGCAAUCUGACAACCCAAAUUUUGUCAGUGUCAUGGACCUUGAUGAUGAAUCUCGACUAAGGAAUGUCUUUUGGGCUGAUGCAAGAAGUAGAGCAGUGUAUGACUCUUUUCAUGAUGUCGUUAGUUUUGACACAACAUAUUUGACGAACAAAUAUGAUAUGCCUUUUGCUUGUUUUGUUGGAGUGAAUCAUCAUGGACAAUCAAUUUUGCUUGGAUGUGCUCUAUUAUCAAAUGAAGAUACCGAAACAUUUGUUUGGUUAUUUCAAGCAUGGCUCACAUGUAUGUCAAAUCUCCAUCCAAAAGCUAUUGUAACCGAUCAAGCAAAAGCAAUUCAGAAUGGUGUGGAAAGAGUUUUUCCAGAAUCUCGAUAUAGAUGGUGUUUGUGGCAUAUAAUGAAGAAGAUACCCGAGAAGUUUGGUGGAUAUGAUGAGUAUGAUCACAUUAAGGCUGCUAUUGGCAAGGCAGUUUAUGAUUCAUUAACAAUUACAGAGUUUGAAGUUGCUUGGAUGCAUAUGCUUGAGAAGUAUGAUCUUGGUGAUAACGAAUGGCUUAAAGGGCUUUACCGCCAUAGGCACCGAUGGGUUCCAGCAUUUGUGAAAGAUGCCUUUUGGGCAGGUAUGUCUACUACACAACGCAGUGAGAGUAUGAAUGCCUUCUUCGAUGGGUAUGUUAAUGCAAAAACUACAUUGAAGCAUUUUGUUAGCCAAUAUGAGAAUGCUCUUCGUGAUAAAGUUGAGAAGGAGAAUAUUGCUGAUUUCAACUCUUUCAAUUCAACCAUACCUUGCAUCACACACUUUGAUAUCGAGAUGCAAUUUCAAUCAAUCUAUACAAAUUCGAAGUUCAAAGAAUUUCAAGAAGAGCUAACAUACAAGAUGUAUUGUGAUCGGAAAAAAGAUAUUGUGUACCAUGUACAAUUCAGUGAGGAAGAGUUUGAAGUUAAGUGUUCAUGUCGCCACUUUGAGUUCAGGGGGAUUCUCUGUAGGCAUGUGUUAUGUGUGCUCACUCACAAGAAAAUCAAGGAGGUUCCUCUACAAUACAUUCUUGAUCGGUGGAGAAAAAAUGUGAAAAGAAAACAUAACUUCAUCAGAUGCACAUAUGGCGGCAUGGAAAAUACUCCUGUUGCAAAUCCUUUUGAUAGAUUGUGCAACAGUUUCUACCCAGUUGCAGAGAUAGGCGCCAUGUCAGAUGAUUCAUGCAAUUCAUUGAUUGAAGAUCUUUGCACCUUGAAAAUUAAGUACUCUAGCAACUCAAGUUCUGAAAAUAAUAAGGAUCAGGUUAGUGCACCAAAAGAUCAAUUGCAGGAAGAGGCGCCUUCUGAUGGGAAGACAACAAGUAAAACUAUACUAAGUCCAAUAGCUGCUGCACAAAAGGAAGCUGAACAAAAGGUAUUCUCCCUAUAUUAUCAGAAAUCAUUUGACUUGGGCAUUAUCAAUGGCGACAUAAAUCCACCCCAAGGAUCAACUACAGUAUCACUUGGAGGCAAGAAUAUGAUGAAACCCACUUUUGGAGAUAUGUUUACAAUGUACAACAUCACGGAACAACAACAAUAUAUAGGGAUCUCGCGAGCGCCGCCCGCGUACGACUUAGCGCUGGAAGAGGGAGCUACGCCGGCCAGCCAGGAAGGGGAUGCGUCCCAGCGUUGA
RNAcentral lists this ribosomal RNA (2331 nucleotides) under Triticum aestivum (bread wheat). RNAcentral's name for it is "partial small subunit ribosomal RNA". The record is from RNAcentral. Lineage: Eukaryota; Viridiplantae; Streptophyta; Magnoliopsida; Poales; Poaceae.